GUCAGUGGCAGCCACUGUAAA
RNAcentral lists this small nuclear RNA (21 nucleotides) under Arabidopsis thaliana (thale cress). RNAcentral's name for it is "snRNA_14151". The record is from RNAcentral. Lineage: Eukaryota; Viridiplantae; Streptophyta; Magnoliopsida; Brassicales; Brassicaceae.